AUUGAACGCUGGCGGCAGGCCUAACACAUGCAAGUCGAACGAGUGGCGGACGGGUGAGUAAUGUCUGGGAAACUGCCUGAUGGAGGGGGAUAACUACUGGAAACGGUAGCUAAUACCGCAUACCAUCAGAUGUGCCCAGAUGGGAUUAACUUGUUGGUGGGGUAACGGCUCACCAAGGCGACGAUCCCUAGCUGUUCUGAGAGGAUGACCAAGCACACUGUGACUGAGACACGGUCCAGAAUCAUACGGGAGGCAGCAGUGGGGAAUAUUGCACAAUGGGGGCAAGCCUGAUGCAGCCAUGCCGGGUGUAUGAAGAAGGGCUUCGGGUUGUAAAGUACUUUCAGCGGGGAGGCAUUACCCGCAGAAGAAGCACCGGCUAGCUCCGUGCGAGCAGCCGCGGUAAUAG
This 406-nucleotide ribosomal RNA is filed under the name uncultured bacterium. RNAcentral describes it as "partial 16S ribosomal RNA". It matches the Rfam family "Bacterial small subunit ribosomal RNA", at positions 30 to 526 of the family's 1533-position model. The record is from RNAcentral.